This 497-nucleotide ribosomal RNA is filed under the name Megascolecidae sp. SC201745-03. Its description in RNAcentral is "partial large subunit ribosomal RNA". It matches the Rfam family "Bacterial large subunit ribosomal RNA", at positions 1810 to 2605 of the family's 2925-position model. The record is from RNAcentral. Lineage: Eukaryota; Metazoa; Annelida; Clitellata; Crassiclitellata; Megascolecidae.
AAAACAUUGUCUCAUGAAUAAAAUAUGAGAUAGUACCUGCCCAGUGACGAAUCUGUUCAACGGCCGCGGUAUCCUAACCGUGCAAAGGUAGCAUAAUCACUUGCCUAUUAAUUGUAGGCUAGAAUGAAGGGGUUAACGAAAUAAAGACUGUCUCAAUUAACCAACUAAAAAUUAUUUUCUAUUUGAAGAAAGGUAGAUAAACUCGAAGGACAAGAAGACCCUAUAGAGCUUAAUUUUAACUAUAGAAUUAUCCUAUAAAAAUAUUCGGUUGGGGCGACCCAGGGCUAAUUAAUCACCCAAUUUAUAAAAGAUAUAUAAAUCAAGUAAGUGACCCUUAAAGAUCACAAGAACAAGCUACCUUAGGGAUAACAGGCUAAUCCCACUCAAGAGUCCUUAUCAACAGUGGGGAUUGGCACCUCGAUGUUGGCUUAGGGUAUCUAUAUAGCGCAAAAGUUAUAUAAAGAUGGUUUGUUCAACCAAUGACACCCUACGUGAUC